RNAcentral lists this transfer RNA (21 nucleotides) under Diadema antillarum. RNAcentral's name for it is "partial tRNA-Lys". Lineage: Eukaryota; Metazoa; Echinodermata; Echinoidea; Diadematoida; Diadematidae. RNAcentral also lists the same sequence under 2 other names. The record is from RNAcentral.
GUUAAACUCUACUAUUAAGGG